GGGGACACUGAGACACUAGGGGACACGGACACAUGAUGACACAUACACUAGGGGACACUGAGACACUAGGACACAGACACUGGGAGACCUGGGAACACAGACACUUGGGGACACUGGAAAACAUGGGGACACUGGGACACAUGAGGAUGCUGAGACACAUGGGGGCAUUGGGAGACACUAUGUUCCCAUGUCCCCCAGCCAGUGUCCCUAGUGUCUCAGUGUCCCCAGUCUCCCAGUGUCUGUGUUCCAUGUCUCUCAGUGUGCCUAGUGUCCCCAUGUCUUUGUCCACAACUGUCCCCAUGUCUCCCCAAGUGUCUCUCCCAGCUAGUGUCCCCUAGUCUCCC
Molecule: non-coding RNA, 344 nt
Organism: Pelobates cultripes (western spadefoot toad)
Lineage: Eukaryota; Metazoa; Chordata; Amphibia; Anura; Pelobatidae
Source: the annotation of a GenBank genome assembly